Molecule: long non-coding RNA, 199 nt
Filed under: Elaeis guineensis (African oil palm)
Lineage: Eukaryota; Viridiplantae; Streptophyta; Magnoliopsida; Arecales; Arecaceae
Description: long non-coding RNA (EGUI_LNC074485)
Source: RNAcentral
AGUACUGAAUUUAUUUUUCAUCCUUUUAAUUUUUAUUUUUCAACUUAAAUUGCUUUCUUCAAAAUUUUUUUUUUUUUGUAAAAUCAAAGAUUUCAAAUCAAAAUUCUGCCUUCUCUGUGGAUUCAACCCAACUCGCUACUUUGUGCAUAUUUUUAAUUUUUAUUAAAGUCAGAAUUUGAUUGAUAAUCACGGUGUCCUA